Non-coding RNA from Pelobates cultripes (western spadefoot toad), 212 nucleotides. The record is from the annotation of a GenBank genome assembly. NCBI's taxonomy places the organism in Eukaryota, Metazoa, Chordata, Amphibia, Anura, Pelobatidae.
CUUUGUGUUGGUGGUUAUUAUUGUGCACCCUGCUUUUUGUAUUAUCUGUAAUAUUUUUUUUUUCUUCCCAUUUACAUUCUUUUAUCUAAAUCUUCAUGAAUUUUUUUGCCAUGACAACCAAUACGUAAUGGGAGGAAUCACUAAGUUGUUAAAAUUGUGCAUUACGUUCUUACAAGCUUUCCUUUAUACAAAAUUUGCAGUGGUGUUCAAAU